Molecule: long non-coding RNA, 261 nt
Filed under: Panax ginseng (ginseng)
Lineage: Eukaryota; Viridiplantae; Streptophyta; Magnoliopsida; Apiales; Araliaceae
Description: long non-coding RNA (PGIN_LNC017757)
Source: RNAcentral
UCCUUUCUUUCAGAAUAUCCGAGCUAAGGACCUUGUUAAGGUGAAAUGGCUCGGAAUAAAUCCUUCCUCCUUGCGGUGUUGUCUUUUCUUUGAGAAUAUUCGAGCCAAGAACCUUGUUAAGGUGAAAUGGCUCGGAAUGGAUGCUUCCUCCUUGCGGUAUUGCAUUUUUCUUUGAGAAUAUCUGAGCCAAGAUCCUUGUUAAGGUGAAAUGGCCCGGAAUGGAUGCUUCCUCGUUGUGGUGUUUCUUUGAGACUAUCCGAG